RNAcentral lists this ribosomal RNA (467 nucleotides) under uncultured bacterium. Its description in RNAcentral is "partial 16S ribosomal RNA". It matches the Rfam family "Bacterial small subunit ribosomal RNA", at positions 28 to 507 of the family's 1533-position model. The record is from RNAcentral.
GACGAACGCUGGCGGCGUGCUUAACACAUGCAAGUCGAACGGUGAAGCUCCAGCUUGCUGGAGUGGAUCAGUGGCGAACGGGUGAGUAACACGUGAGCAACCUGCCCCAGACUCUGGAAUAAGCGCUGGAAACGGCGUCUAAUACUGGAUACGAGAUCAAGCCGCAUGGUUAUGGUCUGGAAAGUUUUUCGGUUUGGGAUGGGCUCGCGGCCUAUCAGCUUGUUGGUGAGGUAAUGGCUCACCAAGGCGACGACGGGUAGCCGGCCUGAGAGGGCGACCGGCCACACUGGGACUGAGACACGGCCCAGACUCCUACGGGAGGCAGCAGUGGGGAAUAUUGCACAAUGGGCGAAAGCCUGAUGCAGCGACGCCGCGUGAGGAUGACGGCCUUCGGGUUGUAAACCUCUUUCAGCAGGGAAGAAGCGAAAGUGACGGUACCUGCAGAAGAAGCACCGGCUAACUACGUG